CCUACGGGCGGCAGCAGUGGGGAAUAUUGCACAAGGGGGGGAACCCUGAUGCAGCAACGCCGCGUGGGUGAAGAAGUACUUCGGUAUGUAAAGCCCUGUCAGCAGGGAAGAAAAGGACGGUACCUGACCAAGAAGCCCCGGCUAACGACGUGCCAGCAGCCGCGGUAAUACGUAGGGGGCAAGCGUUAUCCGGAUUUACUGGGUGUAAAGGGAGCGUAGACGGCAAGGCAAGUCUGGAGGGAAAGCCCGUGGCUCAACCACGGGACUGCUUGGGAAACUGUGUUGCUGGAGUGCAGGAGGGGUAAGCGGAAUUCCUAGUGUAGCGGUGAAAUGCGUAGAUAUUAGGAGGAACACCGGUGGCGCAGGCGGCUUACUGGACUGUACCUGACGUUGCGGCUCGAAGGCGUGGGGAGCAAACAGGAUUAGAUACCCGAGUAGUC
RNAcentral lists this ribosomal RNA (440 nucleotides) under uncultured bacterium. RNAcentral describes it as "partial 16S ribosomal RNA". It matches the Rfam family "Bacterial small subunit ribosomal RNA", at positions 338 to 795 of the family's 1533-position model. The record is from RNAcentral.